This 332-nucleotide long non-coding RNA is filed under the name Manihot esculenta (cassava). Its description in RNAcentral is "long non-coding RNA (MESC_LNC010577)". Lineage: Eukaryota; Viridiplantae; Streptophyta; Magnoliopsida; Malpighiales; Euphorbiaceae. The record is from RNAcentral.
UUGGAGAAGUCCAUACGCUGGAAUUGAUUGCAGCGCGGGCCAUGAGUGCAAGGUCGUGCGGGAGCUGGGGCGUGAGUGUUGAGGUGGAGCCCAUGCGUGAAGGAUUGUGCAGAUUGGGCCGUCCGAGUCCAUGGGCUGCUAUGUGCGGACCCAAGUGUCCUUUUGCUGCCCAAUUAUUUUUUUUUUGGCUCUAAAUAAGGCAGUUUUAGGGGGUUUUUCUCCAAAUUGUCCUUUUACACCAUUUUCUGCAAAAUAAUAUUAAAAGCAAUAAAUUAAGCAGAAAUCAUGUAAAUAUUUAUCAAUAAUAUUAAUAUAAAAUGGACUAAAUUAUA